UACAUUGCCUUUGACCAUUUAGCUCCCAGA
RNAcentral lists this non-coding RNA (30 nucleotides) under Rattus norvegicus (Norway rat). The record is from RNAcentral. Lineage: Eukaryota; Metazoa; Chordata; Mammalia; Rodentia; Muridae.